CCUACGGGAGGCAGCAGUGGGGAAUCUUGCGCAAUGGGCGAAAGCCUGACGCAGCCAUGCCGCGUGGAUGAUGAAGGUCUUAGGAUUGUAAAAUCCUUUCACCGGUGAAGAUAAUGACUGUAGCCGGAGAAGAAGCCCCGGCUAACUUCGUGCCAGCAGCCGCGGUAAUACGAAGGGGGCUAGCGUUGCUCGGAAUUACUGGGCGUAAAGGGAGCGUAGGCGGACAUUUAAGUCAGGGGUGAAAUCCCAGAGCUCAACUCUGGAACUGCCUUUGAUACUGGGUGUCUUGAGUGUGAGAGAGGUAUGUGGAACUCCGAGUGUAGAGGUGAAAUUCGUAGAUAUUCGGAAGAACACCAGUGGCGAAGGCGACAUACUGGCUCAUUACUGACGCUGAGGCUCGAAAGCGUGGGGAGCAAACAGGAUUAGAUACCCUGGUAGUCCACGCCGUAAACGAUGAUUGCUAGUUGUCGGGAAGCUUGCUUUUCGGUGACGCAGCUAACGCAUUAAGCAAUCCGCCUGGGGAGUACGGUCGCAAGAUUAAAACUCAAAGGAAUUGACGG
This 560-nucleotide ribosomal RNA is filed under the name uncultured Alphaproteobacteria bacterium. RNAcentral's name for it is "bacterial SSU rRNA". It matches the Rfam family "Bacterial small subunit ribosomal RNA", at positions 338 to 916 of the family's 1533-position model. The record is from RNAcentral. Lineage: Bacteria; Pseudomonadati; Pseudomonadota; Alphaproteobacteria.